GCGGUGGAUGAUGUGGUUUAAUUCGAUGCAACGCGAAAACCUUACCCACCUUUGACAUGGCAGGAAUCCCGAAGAGAUUGGGAGUGCUCGAAAGAGAACCUGCACACAGGUGCUGCAUGGCUGUCGUCAGCUCGUGUCGUGAGAUGUUGGGUUAAGUCCCGCAACGAGCGCAACCCUUGCCAUUAGUUGCUACGAAAGGGCACUCUAAUGGGACUGCCGGUGACAAACCGGAGGAAGGUGGGGAUGACGUCAAGUCCUCAUGGCCCUUAUAGGUGGGGCUACACACGUCAUACAAUGGCCGGUACAGAGGGUAGCCAACCCGCGAGGGGGAGCCAAUCCCACAAAGCCGGUCGUAGUCCGGAUCGCAGUCUGCAACUCGACUGCGUGAAGUCGGAAUCGCUAGUAAUCGCGGAUCAGCAUGUCGCGGUGAAUACGUUCCCGGGUCUU
RNAcentral lists this ribosomal RNA (447 nucleotides) under uncultured Allobrachymonas sp. RNAcentral describes it as "bacterial SSU rRNA". It matches the Rfam family "Bacterial small subunit ribosomal RNA", at positions 929 to 1382 of the family's 1533-position model. The record is from RNAcentral. Lineage: Bacteria; Pseudomonadati; Pseudomonadota; Betaproteobacteria; Burkholderiales; Comamonadaceae.